This 73-nucleotide transfer RNA is filed under the name Pachycondyla annamita. Its description in RNAcentral is "tRNA-Lys". The record is from RNAcentral. Lineage: Eukaryota; Metazoa; Arthropoda; Insecta; Hymenoptera; Formicidae.
CAUUAAAUGACUGAAUAAAAGUAUUGAUUUUUUAAAUCAAAUUAUAAUAGAUUAUUUUAUCUAUUUUUAAUGA